GUCACAUGGCUUCCUCUCUCACAGUCUCCACCACGGCUCCGGCAGUCUACCCUCUGGAUCCCAGAUGCGGGGGCACAACCGACUCCACAGUGACCGUGGGCUGCCUGGUCUCGAGCUACUUGCCUGAGCCAGUGACCGUGACCUGGAACUCGGGCGUCCCUUCCAGUGGCGUGCACACCUUCCCAUCUGUCCUCGGGUCUUCGGGGCUGUACUCCCUCAGCAGCACUGUGACCGUGCCUGCCAGCACCUCGACCGGCAAGAGCUUCACCUGCAGCAUAUACCACCCGGCCAGCAGCACCAAGGUGGACAAGCACAUCGAGAUUAAUGGCUCCACACGCCCCACGUGUCCUGAAUGCUACAAGUGUCCCACAUGUCCAGCCCCUGAGCUCUCAGGAGGACCGUCCGUCUUCAUCUUCCCCCCAAAGCCCAGAGACACCCUCACAAUAUCCGAAACACCUAAGGUCACCUGCGUUGCGGUUGAUGUGACCUACGAGGACCCCGAUGUCCUGUUCUCCUGGUACGUGGACGAUGUAGAGGUGCACACGGCCAGGACGAAGCCAAGGGAGGAGCAGUUCAACAGCACGUACCGUGUGGUCAGCACCCUGCCCAUCCGGCACCAGGACUGGCUGACGGGAAAGGAGUUCAAGUGCAAGGUCAACAACAAAGACCUACCAGUCCCCAUCGUGAGGACCAUCUCCAAGGACAAAGGGCAGCUCCGCGAGCCGCAGGUGUACGUACUGCCCCCACCACAGGAAGAGCUGGCCAAGAUCUCGGUCAGCUUAACCUGCAUGGUCACCGACUUCUACCCGGGUGACAUCGACGUGGAGUGGCAGAGAAACGGACAGCCAGAGAAAGAGGACAAGUACAACACGACCCCACCCCAGCUGGAGGACAAUGGGUCCUUCUUCCUGUACAGCAAGCUCAGGGUGGACAAGAAGAGCUGGCAGCAGGAAGACACCUACACGUGUGUAGUUUUUCACGAGGCUCUACACAAUCACAACACGCAGAAGUCCAUCUCCCAGUCUUCGGAACUGCUCCUAGAGGAGGAGACCUGUUCUGAUGCCCAGGACGAGGAGCUGGACGAGCUGUGGACGACCAUCUCCAUCUUCAUCACCCUCUUCCUGCUCAGCGUGUGCUACAGUGCCACCGUGACCCUCUUCAAGGUGAAGUGGAUCUUCUCGUCGGUGGUGGAGCUGAAGCGCACGAUCGUCCCAGACUACAGAAACAUGAUCGGGCAGGGCGCCUAGUGCUCACUACGGGCU
Kogia breviceps (pygmy sperm whale) is the source of this 1262-nucleotide non-coding RNA. The record is from the annotation of a RefSeq genome assembly. Lineage: Eukaryota; Metazoa; Chordata; Mammalia; Artiodactyla; Physeteridae.